UACGAAGGGGGCUAGCGUUGCUCGGAAUUACUGGGCGUAAAGCGCACGUAGGCGGUCUUUUAAGUCGGGGGUGAAAUCCUGGAGCUCAACUCCAGAACUGCCUUCGAUACUGGAAGACUUGAGUCCGGGAGAGGUGAGUGGGACUGCGAGUGUAGAGGUGAAAUUCGUAGAUAUUCGCAAGAACACCAGUGGCGAAGGCGGCUCACUGGCCCGGUACUGACGCUGAGGUGCGAAAGCGUGGGGAGCAAACAGG
This 253-nucleotide ribosomal RNA is filed under the name uncultured bacterium. Its description in RNAcentral is "partial 16S ribosomal RNA". It matches the Rfam family "Bacterial small subunit ribosomal RNA", at positions 524 to 776 of the family's 1533-position model. The record is from RNAcentral.